CAUUGCGAAAAGUCAUGCGACCUGCACUCUUUGAGAAGCAUAACUCUUUGAACGCACCUUGCGCGCAUCAACACGAGUUGGUGCGAGGUCCUGUUUGAGCAUGUUAUGAUGAUUUAGACUUGGCUGCCAACGCAUGCGUGGUGGCUUAAAAGCAAGCGGGAGCCCGAACGACUCUAGGGCAGCGAGACGAGUAGCGCGACAAGCACCACUACGAUUCUCGCAACCGCGUUACCAGUUGAGCAUGACUCAUGUGGAGCUCAACUGGUUGUUGAGCAAGCUCAACAAGCAGCAAAAACAUCUCAAAUCAGGAUAGAGGACCCGCUGAACUUAA
This 331-nucleotide unclassified non-coding RNA is filed under the name uncultured Blastocladiomycota. Its description in RNAcentral is "sequence contains ITS1". Lineage: Eukaryota; Fungi; Blastocladiomycota. The record is from RNAcentral.